Molecule: long non-coding RNA, 1101 nt
Filed under: Mus musculus (house mouse)
Lineage: Eukaryota; Metazoa; Chordata; Mammalia; Rodentia; Muridae
Description: predicted gene, 41556
Source: RNAcentral
AGUGCCAAGCAUUGGAUGGGAUGCAAGAGGAAGCAGGAGGCAGAGGCAGAGGAAGCGAGGCCUGCUGAGGGGCCUCCCGUCUUUCUGAAACUCCAGCUUCAGCUCCCACUAACCGGGUGGCUGUGAGCUACAGGACUGCAGCUGCUGAAAGAGGUCAGAAGUAUCGGAUUCCCUGGAGCUAGAGUUACAGGUCCAAUUCUGGCAUUGUUGGCUCAAUCGAUACGUGUUUAUUGAACACCCUUGACGGCAGCCCUGGGGUCUCCGGGGGUGCUGGAGACACUGAACAGCAAGAGCACCCUCGGUUCCUGGAAAUCAUAAUUGCUCGUUCUUCUUAUCAGAGGCAGGGCCCCAGUGACCUUCCUCGCUACCCCCCCCCAAGGCAAUGAUGGAGCUACGUAGUGAAAAGCAGAGAGAUGUAUUCGCUUCGCUGUGGCCACAGUGAGAAGGGUGACAAGUAAUGAGGUCCAGGGACCCCCCCCCCCAAUCCAUCUUCAGACUGAGGUUGAGGUUUGAGAGAGAUGCACAGCCAGGUUGUCCCACCGUGUGCUGUGCCGUGUGUCACUGACCCAGACCAGUCUGGGCUCCAGUCUGUCCUGUGUAGAAUUUUUCCCUGACAGACAAGUACCCUCUCUGGCUGUCAGCAGGCUUCAGCUUUUUUUCUUCUCUGAGCAUGAGACUCCUGUCGGAGGGGAUUCCGAUUCCUGGGGGAACCUUUAUCUCAACAGUCUGAUAGCCAAAGGGAUGGGCUCUGUAGAGUCCCUAGAGAGUAUAGGCCAGGAUGGUUUUGUUCUUGCUCCAAGCACAGACCACGCCUGUGAACUCGUUUACUAUUACAGAUGGGGAAACUGAGGCAUGGAGACACCUCUAAGCAACUAAUUAAAGUACAGAGUUGAGAAGGCCAUGAGGAGGGUCCCUCAGAGGUAGUAACUCAUUCAUUCAUUCAUUCAUUCAUUCAAGCUUCAGUCAGCUGUAGUGGAGCAUGCCUAGAGUCCCAGCUGCUCUAGAAAGAUGGAGCAGGAGAACUGUUGGAGCCCAAGAGUUUCAAGUUGGCUUAGGCAACAGAGCAAGACCUGGUCUCUAAAAUAAACAAACUUAAGCAAA